RNAcentral lists this ribosomal RNA (755 nucleotides) under uncultured bacterium. RNAcentral's name for it is "bacterial SSU rRNA". It matches the Rfam family "Bacterial small subunit ribosomal RNA", at positions 28 to 776 of the family's 1533-position model. The record is from RNAcentral.
AUUGAACGCUGGCGGCAGGCUUAACACAUGCAAGUCGAGCGGAAACGAUGGUAGCUUGCUACCAGGCGUCGAGCGGCGGACGGGUGAGUAAUACUUAGGAAUCUACCUAGUAGUGGGGGAUAGCACGGGGAAACUCGUAUUAAUACCGCGUACGACCUACGGGAGAAAGGGGGCAGUUUACUGCUCUCGCUAUUAGAUGAGCCUAAGUCGGAUUAGCUAGAUGGUGGGGUAAAGGCCUACCAUGGCGACGAUCUGUAGCUGGUCUGAGAGGAUGAUCAGCCACACCGGGACUGAGACACGGCCCGGACUCCUACGGGAGGCAGCAGUGGGGAAUAUUGGACAAUGGGGGAAACCCUGAUCCAGCCAUGCCGCGUGUGUGAAGAAGGCCUUUUGGUUGUAAAGCACUUUAAGCAGUGAAGAAGACUCUUCGGUUAAUACCCGGAGACGAUGACAUUAGCUGCAGAAUAAGCACCGGCUAACUCUGUGCCAGCAGCCGCGGUAAUACAGAGGGUGCAAGCGUUAAUCGGAAUUACUGGGCGUAAAGCGAGCGUAGGUGGCUUGAUAAGUCAGAUGUGAAAUCCCCGGGCUUAACCUGGGAACUGCAUCUGAAACUGUUAGGCUAGAGUAGGUGAGAGGGAAGUAGAAUUUCAGGUGUAGCGGUGAAAUGCGUAGAGAUCUGAAGGAAUACCGAUGGCGAAGGCAGCUUCCUGGCAUCAUACUGACACUGAGGCUCGAAAGCGUGGGUAGCAAACAGG